Molecule: long non-coding RNA, 755 nt
Organism: Centruroides sculpturatus (bark scorpion)
Lineage: Eukaryota; Metazoa; Arthropoda; Arachnida; Scorpiones; Buthidae
Exons: 2
Source: RefSeq, a predicted model, not a curated record
AAGUCGUAAACCAUUGGGUAAUCGACCGAGUGACGUAACUUCCAGGUGGUGAAACGAUCGUCGUACGGGAAUACCGAACGGAAUAUCGAAUAAGUAGGUGAAUUACGGGAAAAGCAACCGCGUAACGCUUUUUAUUCUUGUGUUUUCUCGUAAGGGAUGCCUCGCGUAACCUCAAACGUUGUCCGAUCGCUAACUUGUUUACAUCAAUACUACUCCCAUUCCUCUGCCUUCCUAUAACAAAUGACUGUCGAGUUACGACCCCCCUCUUCACCUGAGCCUACGAAAGCAUGCUGCAUCGUUUCUGGAGGCCUCUUCGCUUGCUUGUUACUCCUCGGUGUGGCUACGGUCGUAACGGGCUGCGUCCUGAUAGGCCUUACCUACUACAAACAACUGCCACGUGAACAUCCUCUGUACUUCGCCAAGGCCUACGAAAGAGAAUACCUGAAAGCUAUAGGGCCUAUCAUACUUGUUAUCGGACUCGUUUUCAUCCUCCUACCUUUGGCCAUGUGUUGCCUGAUUGUACGAGGCCCCAGACAGAAUAGAUAUUUGUUAGGGGAGGCCCGGUAUCACAGCCUAGCCCUUCCUUUGUACGACUUGCCACCGGGUUACGAACAGGUUACGAAAGUCGACAAGCAAACAACAAAGGGCGAUGCCCACAUCAGUGUCAUCACUGUGUUAGAUUAUACUGAAGAUAGGCCACCCCCUUAUCACGAGGUUACUAAAUAAAGAGUGACGAUGACGUGUCAGGCCCGAGA